Molecule: long non-coding RNA, 485 nt
Organism: Contarinia nasturtii (swede midge)
Lineage: Eukaryota; Metazoa; Arthropoda; Insecta; Diptera; Cecidomyiidae
Exons: 4
Source: RefSeq, a predicted model, not a curated record
UAUUUUUCAAAAAAAAAAAAAACGAGAAUCUGAUUCAAUUUAAUUGUAAUGAACAAUCGUGAAAAAAGGUGAAAAUAGACCGAAUUCAAUUCUUUUAACAUCGAUUCCUUCUUGACCAAAAUCUGGGUAGUCAAGCAAAUUGAGUUGAGCAAAUGUCUGAUAAGCAUCAAGUGCAUGCAAAUCGCAGAUAGAACGUGACAAGCGAAUGGAACGUUGCAAAAAAUACAAAUAAAGUUCAGGAUACUGUUGACAACGGAACGUAAAUUUAUGGAUCACAUGAUAUGGUACAUUGGUUGACAGUUGCAUCAUCUCUCAUCAAAAACCAUAUGUAUCGGCAUGUAGUUCCAGUAACAGUUUUUCGGGCAUUUCUAGUGACUUCAGAGAAGAUAACGAGUUAUAAAAAGGAUGGGAUACCAAUGAAGAUGCAAAUAUCAUGGAUAUAAAUGGACUUUGAGAGAAUUGACGUCUGGUUUACUUUUUCGAUG